GUAUAUGUGAUUGGUGGAGUUGGAGACAAGAAAUACUACAAUGAUGUUUGGGUUCUUGAUGUGAUAAAUUCAUCAUGGACGCAGCUUGAUGUAAUGGGCCAAAAACCACAGGGACGAUUUUCUCAUACUGCUACUGCUCGGAACACGGAUAUUGUAAUCUAUGGAGGUUGUGGUGAGGAUGAGCGGCCACUUAAUGAGUUACUUAUCUUGCAGUUUGGAGUAGAAUAUCCUAAUGGGACUAGCACCUUUUCUGGUUGCAGAGCUUCUGGAAAUACAAGUCAUUAUGAUAAGAAAAGGUUCCUGAGAGAAAAAGACAAUAGCUCGGUACAAUAGAUGAAAACUUGGUUCUUUUUUCGUGAAUAUUAACAAUUUGAGAUUUAGGAACGUAGGUCACAAGACAACAUAGUUCAUGCUCUUGUUGAUGUGGAUAGUGGGGCGGAAUCGGAUCAUGUCUCUAACACCCAACGUUGACUUUUUUGAUUCGUAUACUUUUGGAUUGUAAUAUUGCUAUGUUUUCUUGCAUAUGUAAUUUUUUUUUAUGAUAGUUUUAAUUCGAAUUAGAUGUACUUUUGAAGGUGAAUUUAAUUGUAGGAAGUAGUUUAUGGAUGUUUUAACUUUACGAUGUUUAAGUGUUUGAAUGUAGAAAGUAGUUUAUGGUUGUUUAACUUUACGAUGUUCAAGUGUUUGAAUGUAGUUUUAAGGAUAUUUAGAAGUACUUUAAAUUGAAA
Lycium barbarum (goji berry) is the source of this 728-nucleotide long non-coding RNA. RefSeq lists it as uncharacterized. NCBI's taxonomy places the organism in Eukaryota, Viridiplantae, Streptophyta, Magnoliopsida, Solanales, Solanaceae. The transcript has 2 exons. The record is from RefSeq and is a predicted model, not a curated record.